This 331-nucleotide ribosomal RNA is filed under the name uncultured bacterium. RNAcentral describes it as "bacterial SSU rRNA". It matches the Rfam family "Bacterial small subunit ribosomal RNA", at positions 568 to 898 of the family's 1533-position model. The record is from RNAcentral.
UGCGUAGGCGGCUUUUUAAGUUUGGUGUGAAAUCUCCUGGCUCAACCGGGAGGGUGCGCCGAAUACUGAGAGGCUAGAGUGUGGGAGAGGAAAGUGGAAUUCCUGGUGUAGCGGUGAAAUGCGUAGAUAUCAGGAGGAACACCGGUGGUGUAAACGGCUUUCUGGACCAUAACUGACGCUGAGGCACGAAAGCGUGGGUAGCAAACAGGAUUAGAUACCCUGGUAGUCCACGCCCUAAACGAUGCAUAUUUGGUGUGGGCCAUUCAUUUGGUCUGUGCCGGAGCUAACGCGUUAAAUAUGCCGCCUGGGGAGUACAGUCGCAAAGGCUGAA